This 245-nucleotide ribosomal RNA is filed under the name uncultured bacterium. RNAcentral's name for it is "partial 16S ribosomal RNA". It matches the Rfam family "Bacterial small subunit ribosomal RNA", at positions 524 to 768 of the family's 1533-position model. The record is from RNAcentral.
UACAGAGGUCCCGAGCGUUGUUCGGAUUCACUGGGCGUAAAGGGUGCGUAGGUGGCCGUGGAAGUUUGAUGUGAAAGCUCGGAGCUUAACUCCGAAAUGGCAUUGAAUACUCUACGGCUUGAGGGUCGGAGGGGAGACUGGAAUUCUCGGUGUAGCAGUGAAAUGCGUAGAUAUCGAGAGGAACACCAGUGGCGAAGGCGAGUCUCUGGACGACACCUGACACUGAGGCACGAAAGCUAGGGGAG